Molecule: microRNA precursor, 75 nt
Organism: Schistosoma mansoni
Lineage: Eukaryota; Metazoa; Platyhelminthes; Trematoda; Strigeidida; Schistosomatidae
Rfam family: mir-3492 microRNA precursor family
Source: Rfam
AGCUUUCUGAAUCCAUGCCAAGAUUUCGUCAAACCAGCCUAUCAGGACUCAGAGACUUGCAAGAUAAGUGGGGCG